This 74-nucleotide transfer RNA is filed under the name Gracilibacillus boraciitolerans JCM 21714. It matches the Rfam family "tRNA". From Rfam's summary of the family: Transfer RNA (tRNA) molecules are approximately 80 nucleotides in length. Their secondary structure includes four short double-helical elements and three loops (D, anti-codon, and T loops). Further hydrogen bonds mediate the characteristic L-shaped molecular structure. tRNAs have two regions of fundamental functional importance: the anti-codon, which is responsible for specific mRNA codon recognition, and the 3' end, to which the tRNAs corresponding amino acid is attached (by aminoacyl-tRNA synthetases). tRNAs cope with the degeneracy of the genetic code in two manners: having more than one tRNA (with a specific anti-codon) for a particular amino acid; and 'wobble' base-pairing, i.e. permitting non-standard base-pairing at the 3rd anti-codon position. The record is from Rfam by way of RNAcentral. Lineage: Bacteria; Bacillati; Bacillota; Bacilli; Caryophanales; Bacillaceae.
GGGGGGGUGGAGCAGUCUGGUAGCUCGUCGGGCUCAUAACCCGAAGGUCGCAAGUUCAAAUCUUGCCCCCGCAA